RNAcentral lists this transfer RNA (72 nucleotides) under Ulnaria ulna. RNAcentral's name for it is "tRNA-Gln". It matches the Rfam family "tRNA". Rfam says of the family: Transfer RNA (tRNA) molecules are approximately 80 nucleotides in length. The record is from RNAcentral. RNAcentral also lists the same sequence under 1 other name. Lineage: Eukaryota; Bacillariophyta; Fragilariophyceae; Fragilariales; Fragilariaceae.
UGGGGUGUCGCCAAGUGGUAAGGCUGCGGACUUUGACUCCGCCACUCGUAGGUUCGAAUCCUGCCACCCCAG